UGAAGCUUGCUUCUAAAUAACCUAGCGGCGGACGGGUGAGUAACACGUAGGCAACCUGCCCACAAGACAGGGAUAACUACCGGAAACGGUAGCUAAUACCCGAUACAUCCUUUUCCUGCAUGGGAGAAGGAGGAAAGGCGGAGCAAUCUGUCACUUGUGGAUGGGCCUGCGGCGCAUUAGCUAGUUGGUGGGGUAAUGGCCUACCAAGGCGACGAUGCGUAGCCGACCUGAGAGGGUGAUCGGCCACACUGGGACUGAGACACGGCCCAGACUCCUACGGGAGGCAGCAGUAGGGAAUCUUCCGCAAUGGGCGAAAGCCUGACGGACCACGCCGCGUGAGUGAUGAAGGUUUUCGGAUCGUAAAGCUCUGUUGCCAGGGAAGAACGUCUUGUAAAGUAACUGCUAUAAGAGUGACGUACCUGAGAAGAAAGCCCCGGCUAACUACGUGCCAGCAGCCGCGGUAUACGUAGGGGGGCAGCGUGUCCGAAUUAUUGGGCGAAACGCGCGC
Molecule: ribosomal RNA, 508 nt
Filed under: Paenibacillus polymyxa
Lineage: Bacteria; Bacillati; Bacillota; Bacilli; Caryophanales; Paenibacillaceae
Description: bacterial SSU rRNA
Rfam family: Bacterial small subunit ribosomal RNA
Source: RNAcentral